CCCCUGCUGGUCCAGUGGCGAAGACAUCGAGCUUCCAGUGCAGGGGGCCCAGGUUCGAUCCCUGGGCAGGGAA
RNAcentral lists this transfer RNA (73 nucleotides) under Bos taurus (domestic cattle). It matches the Rfam family "tRNA". Rfam says of the family: Transfer RNA (tRNA) molecules are approximately 80 nucleotides in length. Their secondary structure includes four short double-helical elements and three loops (D, anti-codon, and T loops). RNAcentral also lists the same sequence under 1 other name. Lineage: Eukaryota; Metazoa; Chordata; Mammalia; Artiodactyla; Bovidae. The record is from Rfam by way of RNAcentral.